Non-coding RNA from Cinara cedri, 260 nucleotides. NCBI's taxonomy places the organism in Eukaryota, Metazoa, Arthropoda, Insecta, Hemiptera, Aphididae. The record is from the annotation of a GenBank genome assembly.
AUUGAAUUAUUGCGAUAUUGCGUAUUUAACGUCAUUCAUUAUAUUACGUUUAUUGCGGUCGAAAACUAACGCGUGGUUAAGAGGACGCGUGAAACGUGUUGUCUCCUUCUUACAAACGCGUAGGACGCGGAAAAUUUGCGUUCGACAGGGACAAUUUUGCGCUAUUAGUUUUAACAUUUCAAUGGAUUGGCCUAUUGCAUCGAACCAUUAUAGGUAUAAGAACAUUAUCCGUCCAACUGCGUCGGUUUUGUUUCGAAGUU